Dioscorea cayenensis subsp. rotundata (Guinea yam) is the source of this 107-nucleotide small nucleolar RNA. NCBI's taxonomy places the organism in Eukaryota, Viridiplantae, Streptophyta, Magnoliopsida, Dioscoreales, Dioscoreaceae. The record is from RefSeq and is a predicted model, not a curated record.
AACCCAUGUCGAGGACAAUUUUGCAGGAGUUCCUUGAACCUUUCCCAUGUCUCAAAUAGAGACUCCAAUUCCAUUUGCAUAAAGGAUGAGAUCUCAUUCCUAAGCUU